RNAcentral lists this ribosomal RNA (454 nucleotides) under uncultured bacterium. RNAcentral's name for it is "bacterial SSU rRNA". It matches the Rfam family "Bacterial small subunit ribosomal RNA", at positions 340 to 782 of the family's 1533-position model. The record is from RNAcentral.
UACGGAAGGCAGCAGUGGGGAAUAUUGCACAAUGGGCGCAAGCCUGAUGCAGCCAUGCCGCGUGUAUGAAAAAGGCCUUCGGGUUGUAAAGUACUUUCAGUCGUGAGGAAGGUGUUAAGGUUAAUAACCUUAGCAAUUGACGUUAGCGACAGAAGAAGCACCGGCUAACUCCGUGCCAGCAGCCGCGGUAAUACGGAGGGUGCGAGCGUUAAUCGGAAUUACUGGGCGUAAAGGGCACGCAGGCGGUUAAUUAAGUUGGAUGUGAAAUCCCCGGGCUUAACCUGGGAAUGGCAUUCAAGACUGGUUUAGCUAGAGUCUUGUAGAGGGGGUAGAAUUCCAUGUGUAGCGGUGAAAUGCGUAGAGAUGUGGAGGAAUACCGGCGGCGAAGGGCGGCCCCCUGGACAAAGGACUGACGCUCAUGUGCGAAAGCGUGGGGAGCAAAACAGGGAUUAGA